ACCCCACACACACCGACUCACUCACGCAGGGCAGGAGCGGGGGACCCAGGUAAGUCGCCGGUCCGCACAGCGGACCGGCUCGGGGUGAAGCCGCGUACGGCAGCACGACGCCGUACGCGGCCGGGCACCUCCCGGCCCGAACCCGACAGCUCACCUCGCAGGCGCCGGAGAGGAACAUC
Molecule: small RNA, 179 nt
Filed under: Streptomyces viridochromogenes
Lineage: Bacteria; Bacillati; Actinomycetota; Actinomycetes; Kitasatosporales; Streptomycetaceae
Also listed under: 1 other name
Description: c-di-AMP sequence
Rfam family: c-di-AMP riboswitch aptamer (ydaO/yuaA leader)
About the family: This family represents a conserved RNA structure found upstream of the ydaO and yuaA genes in Bacillus subtilis and related genes in other bacteria.
Source: RNAcentral